Molecule: ribosomal RNA, 254 nt
Filed under: uncultured bacterium
Lineage: Bacteria
Description: partial 16S ribosomal RNA
Rfam family: Bacterial small subunit ribosomal RNA
Source: RNAcentral
UACGGGGGGAGCAAGCGUUGUUCGGAUUUACUGGGCGUAAAGGGCGCGUAGGCGGUCAGCACAAGUCAGUUGUGAAAUCUCCGGGCUUAACUCAGAAAGGUCAACUGAUACUGUGCGACUAGAGUGCAGAAGGGGCAACUGGAAUUCUCGGUGUAGCGGUGAAAUGCGUAGAUAUCGAGAGGAACACCUGCGGCGAAGGCGGGUUGCUGGGCUGACACUGACGCUGAGGCGCGAAAGCCAGGGGAGCGAACGGG